ACUGUGAUAAAGAUGAAAGAGCUUGUAACGACGUCAGACACUUAGCAAGGAAAACAGUAUUUUUUAUUACUGCCAUCAUUAUUAUCAUCAUUAUCAUCAUUGCCUUUACUUGGGUUCUUCAUAAGGCAGAUCUGAAACAAAGGGUUGCAAGUAAGUGCUCCCUUGGAGUGGUGUGACCUAAGAGAUCCAGGAGAGAAUGACAGGGGAAGGAAACAAAGAUGAAAGAGGAAUUGUGAGGAUGCAUUAUCAAGUUGACCACUGCUACAGGUUGUGUGAAUAUGACAUCAAGCAGAUUUCAGUGGGAUUCCGCCCAGUGAAAUCUUAAGUAAGAAGGGAGGAGACAUACAGUUCAGACCUGAGGCAAAAGUCCUGUCAGUAAGCACCUACAGGAAACUGGACAGAGUUUAUGCAGGACUGUUACUGCCCACAGGCUGGAAAAAGAGCCAGGUGAGGCCAAGAAAAUUUUCCAUGAUGCGUAGGAGAAGCUUGGAUCCAAGGUCAUGGUGCCAGAAGAUUUGGUGUCUGGUGAGAGCCUACUUCUUGGUUCAUGAAUGGCUAUCUUUUCACUGUGUCUUCACAUGGUGGAAGGUACCAGGAAGCUUUCUCUGGCCUCUUUUAUAAGGGCACUAAUCUUAUUCAUGAGAGCUCCAUCCUCAUGACCUUAUCAUCUCCCCAAAGGACCCACCAUCUAAUGCCAUCAU
Manis pentadactyla (Chinese pangolin) is the source of this 701-nucleotide long non-coding RNA. RefSeq lists it as uncharacterized. The transcript has 3 exons. The record is from RefSeq and is a predicted model, not a curated record. NCBI's taxonomy places the organism in Eukaryota, Metazoa, Chordata, Mammalia, Pholidota, Manidae.